RNAcentral lists this ribosomal RNA (820 nucleotides) under uncultured Planctomycetota bacterium. RNAcentral describes it as "bacterial SSU rRNA". It matches the Rfam family "Bacterial small subunit ribosomal RNA", at positions 62 to 894 of the family's 1533-position model. Lineage: Bacteria; Pseudomonadati; Planctomycetota. The record is from RNAcentral.
UCGAGCGAGAACCGUAGCAAUACGGGGACAGCGGCGAAAGGGACAGUAAUGUGUAGGUACCUACCCCCGGGUUCGGGAUAGCUGCGGGAAACUGCAGGUAAUACCGAAUAAUGUCUCCGGACCAAAGGUGUGAUUCCACCUGGGGAGGGGCCUGCAUCCUAUUAGCUUGUUGGUGGGGUAACGGCCUACCAAGGCAACGAUGGGUAGCGGGUGUGAGAGCAUGACCCGCGUCAUUGGGACUGAGACACUGCCCAGACACCUACGGGUGGCUGCAGUCGAGAAUCUUCGGCAAUGGGCGAAAGCCUGACCGAGCGACGCCGCGUGCGGGAUGAAGGCCCUCGGGUUGUAAACCGCUGUCGUAGAGGAGGAAAUGCAGGGGGGUUCUCCCCUUUGCUUGACCUAUUCUAGGAGGAAGUACGGGCUAAGUUCGUGCCAGCAGCCGCGGUAAGACGAACCGUACAAACGUUACUCGGAAUUACUGGGCUUAAAGGGUGCGUAGGCUGCGCGGAAAGUUGGGUGUGAAGGCCCUCGGCUCAACCGAGGAAUUGCAUUCAAAACUACCGUGCUCGAGGGAGACAGAGGUAAGCGGAACUCAAGGUGGAGCGGUGAAAUGCGUUGAUAUCUUGAGGAACACCGGUGGCGAAGGCGGCUUACUGGGUCUCUUCUGACGCUGAGGCACGAAAGCUAAGGUAGCAAACGGGAUUAGAUACCCCGGUAGUCUUAGCUGUAAACGAUGAGCACUUGAUUGGAGGGUCCUCCAUAGCCUUCCAGUCGUAGCGAAAGUGUUAAGUGCUCCGCCUGGGGAGUAUGGUCGCAAGGC